ACUUGCCAUUUUUGGCUUUUGCCAGUGUGGAUUUUGUCUAAUAUGAAAAAAAGAAGAAGUUAAAUAAUGAAAUAACGAACUGUGUCUGCUUUGAGCUGCAUCCAAGCAUUGGAUAGUUCAUUUAACCAAAAGCUUCAUAUGAUCUUGGUUGUGCUCCAUAAUGUAUUUCAAGCUUACUUGCUUUAAGCUAUAGUUACCCCUCUGAUGUGAAUGAAUUCCCCUGAAGUUCCAGACAAUGUGGUCAUUGCUUUUUCAGAAGACAAGAUUACAAUGGGGAAUCCCAAAAAUUUGAAUGAAGCCGUAAUACUAAGGCUUUAAUACCAUGAAGGAUGAUCAAUUGUCUCAUAAGUUGAUAGAAAAUGGGGCAAAGAGUGUAGAUCAAUUGUCACUAAUGACACUGUUUUCUUUGCCAUUUGUCAAGUCAACUUUUACCACAUGCUGCAUAUUUAGUGCGUCUGCUUUCGGUGUACUUAAAGAGAUGUGCAUUGCCAGAAUUGAGUAUAAAGGUCUACUCAAUCACAAGGAGUUUGCUGAUUUCCAUGGAUGUCGGUGUGCAGUAAUUUCAGAAAAUAUAUUUUUAUCUAAUUUUGAUCCUGCUGAAAAGAAACCUUCCUGUUAGAUUGCAAAGACAGGGAUGGAUAUGUUGACCAGACCAGAAAGCCUAAUUGAUGUAGCACAGCCCGUAGGUAUUAGAUUAAGCACUUAAACAAUAGAACAGAGAAGAUUAUAAGAGAUCAAGGAGAAGAAAUUAUAGAUCGAAAAGAUGAAAGAAA
Non-coding RNA from Prunus avium (sweet cherry), 773 nucleotides. The record is from RefSeq and is a predicted model, not a curated record. NCBI's taxonomy places the organism in Eukaryota, Viridiplantae, Streptophyta, Magnoliopsida, Rosales, Rosaceae.